GAUGAACGCUGGCGGCGUGCCUAACACAUGCAAGUCGAGCGAACGCACGGGAAGCUUUUUCUUCUGAUGUUAGCGGCGGACGGGUGAGUAACACAUGGAUAGCCUACCUCUUAGACUUGGAUAAUAUCGGGAAACCGGAGCUAAUAACGGAUAAUAUUUUGAACCACAUGGUUCAAAAGUGAAAGACGGUCUUCCUGUCACUUAUAGCUGGAUCCGCGCUGCAUUAGCUAGUUGGUAAGGUAACGGCUUACCAAGGCAACGAUGCAUAGCCGACCUGAGAGGGUGAUCGGCCACACUGGAACUGAGACACGGUCCAGACUCCUACGGGAGGCAGCAGUAGGGAAUCUUCCGCAAUGGGCGAAAGCCUGACGGAGCAACGCCGCGUGAGUGAUGAAGGUCUUCGGAUCGUAAAACUCUGUUAUUAGGGAAGAACAUAUGCGUAUUUACCCGUGCACAUCUUGACGGUACCUAAACAAUAAGCCACGGCUAACUCCGUG
Molecule: ribosomal RNA, 497 nt
Filed under: uncultured bacterium
Lineage: Bacteria
Description: partial 16S ribosomal RNA
Rfam family: Bacterial small subunit ribosomal RNA
Source: RNAcentral